UUGGAAACCUCAGAGCAGUGCUUCUCAAAUGUUAACGUGCAUACGAUGAAUCACGUGGGCAUCUUGUUAAAAUGCAGAGUUUUGAGUCGAGGGUCUGGGGAGGGCUGAGAUUGUGCACUUCUAAGGAGAUGCCAGGUGGUGCUAAUUCUGCUGCACUGGACACCACACUUAGAGUGGCGAGGUCACUAAAUAAUAGGAGCAAAAGGAUCGUGAGAACACCGACAUCAGUGAGAAGGAGGCUGGCUGCAGAGACCAUGGUAAGCUCCUCCCCUUGUGUUCAGGCCAGACCUAUUGACCUGCUUCUCAUGAAUGGAAUAUGACAAAAGCAAUGGGAUGUCACUUUCAUGAUGAGGUUGCAAGAGGUUGUGAUUUCUACUUUGCUAGGAAUCUCUCUUGCUGCUGCUUUCUCCUCUCUAUUGACUUCUUGGCUUGUGUGCUUUGAUGCUGAAACCA
RNAcentral lists this long non-coding RNA (453 nucleotides) under Homo sapiens (human). RNAcentral's name for it is "novel transcript". Lineage: Eukaryota; Metazoa; Chordata; Mammalia; Primates; Hominidae. The record is from RNAcentral.